GACGAACGCUGGCGGCGUGCUUAACACAUGCAAGUCGAACGGAAAGGCCCUGCUUUUGUGGGGUGCUCGAGUGGCGAACGGGUGAGUAACACGUGAGUAACCUGCCCCUGACUUUGGGAUAACUUCAGGCAACUGGGGCUAAUACCGGAUAGGAGCUCCUGCUGCAUGGUGGGGGUUGGAAAGUUUCGGCGGUUGGGGAUGGAGCCGCGUCUUAUCAGCUUGUUGGUAGGGUAGUGGCCUACCAAGGAGACGACAGGUAGCUGGGCGGGGAGGAGGAGAGGGCAGACUGGGAAUGAGGCACGGACGAGACUGCUACGGGAGGGAGAGGGGGGGAAUAUUGGAAAAUGGGGGAAAGCAUGAUCCAGCACUGACGGGUGAGUGAUGAAGGGAGUAGGGUUGGAAAGCUCGUUUAACCGGGAUGAUAAUGACAGUACCGGGAGAAUAAGCUCCGGCUAACUCCGUG
Molecule: ribosomal RNA, 463 nt
Filed under: uncultured bacterium
Lineage: Bacteria
Description: partial 16S ribosomal RNA
Rfam family: Bacterial small subunit ribosomal RNA
Source: RNAcentral